UUCAAAGUGGAUUCCUUGAGGACCUGCUCCAUGAUUUUGCCAGAGACUGAAGUAAGGCUGACAGUGCUGCAAGCAGAGGCUGGGGGAGCUAGAGAGAGCUCUGGGCUGGUUGCUACAACCUGCAGGCUGAGGACCUGAGGUAUGGGCAGAAAAGGGUGCUGCAGCUACAUGGAAAGUGGCCCUGGGACAAUGGACUGAAGUUGCCACUGGAGGCGUGGCUGAACAGAGACUGUGGGUCCCCCGGCAGGGGGAACACAGAGUGUGGCACAGCCAGAGGGCAGUGUCACUGAAGAGGACUCUACAGUUCUGGGAGUGGCGUGGGUCCUGGAACAAAAGUGAUGGCAACAAGGUACCACCAGAGGAGGGCGCCCUGGUGAGUAGAGCUAAUUCCCAUCACAGCCAGCAGGAGGCGCCACAGUGGUGAAUCCCAUCCUGUCACAGGGAGGUUGGGGAAUCUCUGUCAAACAGUAGCUUAGACAAUCCCCUGUCAGGGAUGGUCUAGAUAAUACUUAGUCCUGCCUUGAGUGCAGGGCACUGAACUAGAAGACCUCUCGAGGUCCCUUCCAGUUCUAUGAUUCUAUGAAAUUGUGUUCAUCUGUGUCUGAUAAUUGUGUUCCUCAUUAUAGUUUCAAUCACUUUGCCUGGUAGUGAAGUGAGGCUUACUGGACUGUAAUUGCCAGGAUCACCUCUGGAGCUUUUUUAGAAAUUGGUGUCACAUUAGCUAUCCUCCAGUCAUCUGGUACAGAAGCUGAUUUAAAUGAUAGGUUACAUACAUAGGUUUUAGGACUGUACAUUUAAUUUCUGUUUAACUAGCUUCCUCAUUUUUUGUGUAGUUCCCCUUUCUGAAAUUAAAUGCUCCUGCGAUGGACUUCUUUGGUGGUCCCCGCCCCCCAGAUAUGUUAAUUUGUUAAUUUUAUGGACGCUAUUACAAAGCGGUUCAGCUAUAGUCACCUCUUGGACUGGAUUCUGUGCUCCCGUUUUUAGAACUAAAUCAAGCAAGUAGAAGCACUCGUCCAGACUCUAGGGAGAUGGGGAUAAAAAUCUCGGAGCAGAAGGAAUUAUGGUCUUUUUAUUCUGUUUGGAUUCUCAGGGGCAAAGAUUCCUAAACACAAGCAAGAGAUCUGCAGGACUAACCUGGGUUAGCCCUAAUGGACAUAUUGAGCUGGCAUAUUUCAGCAGCUCUGGCACCAUGUGAAUCCUAAGACUGCAACAUGUUUUUGUGUGUAUGGUUACUUGUUUUAACUUGGUAAAUAAUGCUUUUAUUUCUUUUUCCUGAUUAAUAAAUCCUAGUUUACUAGA
Long non-coding RNA from Dermochelys coriacea (leatherback sea turtle), 1299 nucleotides. RefSeq lists it as uncharacterized. The record is from RefSeq and is a predicted model, not a curated record. NCBI's taxonomy places the organism in Eukaryota, Metazoa, Chordata, Testudines, Dermochelyidae. The transcript has 2 exons.